This 250-nucleotide long non-coding RNA is filed under the name Capsicum annuum. RNAcentral's name for it is "long non-coding RNA (CANN_LNC010082)". The record is from RNAcentral. Lineage: Eukaryota; Viridiplantae; Streptophyta; Magnoliopsida; Solanales; Solanaceae.
AAACUAUUCAAGUGAGGAUGGAUAACAUGGAAGCUCGCAUGAACAAAAGGCUAGAUUCACUAUCUCUUUCUGAUCUUACCAAGCUCAUGGCUGAAUUUGAGCAGGCAAAGGCUAACAUAGCUGAGUUAAAGAAGAAACAAUUACAACCGUUUGUAUUUCAUCUGACUCUGGCAGAAAGUCAUGAUGAUGAGGUAUUUUGGAUCUGAUGGGUAGACUAGUAAAGGAUAAAAGCAAGCAGCAAAUGGAUGAA